GAAAUGAUGAGACGGACGGAUGGCACCAGAGUAGCACCGGACACGUGAAACCCGGUGUGAAGCAGGGAGGACCGCCUCCCAAGGCUAAAUACUACCUGUUGACCGAUAGAGAACAGUACCGUGAGGGAAAGGUGAAAAGAACCCCGGGAGGGGAGUGAAACAGAACCUGAAACCUUAUGCUUACAAGCAGAGGGAGCGCAAGUGACCUCGUACUUUUUGUAGAACGGGCCAACGAGUUGCGGUAUAUGGCAAGGUUAAGGUGUUAAGCACCGGAGCCGUAGCGAAAGCGAGUCUUAAAAGGGCCAGAGUCGUAUGCUGCAGACCCGAAACCGGGUGACCUAUCCAUGUGCAGGUUGAAGCGGGAGUAAAAUCUCGUGGAGGACCGAACCCAUAUCCGUUGAAAAGGGUUGGGAUGACGUGUGGAUAGCGGUGAAAUUCCAAUCGAACUCGGAGAUAGCUGGUUCUCCUCGAAAUAGCUUUAGGGCUAGCCUCGGAAUGAGAUACGCGGAGGUAGAGCACUGAAUAUCCUAGGGGCCUUCACCGGCUACCGAAGAUUAUCAAACUCCGAAUGCCGCAGUAUCAUGUCCGGGAGUCAGACUAUGUGAGAUAAGUUUCAUAGUCGAAAGGGAAACAGCCCAGACCAACAGCUAAGGUCCCCAAAUGUAAGUUAAGUGGAAAAGGAUGUGGAGCUGCAUAGACAACUAGGAUGUUGGCUUAGAAGCAGCCACUCAUUUAAAGAGUGCGUAAUAGCUCACUAGUCGAGUGACUCUGCGCCGAAGAUAAACGGGGCUGAAACCUGACACCGAAGCUUUGGAUACAUUAUGUAUGGUAGAGGAGCAUCGUAUACGGGCAGAAGCGUGACCGUAAGGGAGCGUGGACUGUAUACGAGAGAGAAUGUUGGCAUGAGUAGCGAGAGGCAGGUGAGAAUCCUGCCCGCCGAAAAUCUGAGGAUUCCUGAGGAAGGUUCGUCCGCUCAGGGUAAGUCGGGACCUAAGCCGAGAACGAAAGUUGUAGGCGAUGGACAACAGGUUGAGAUUCCUGUACCACCGAGGAUCAUUUGAAUGAAGUGGGGACGCAGGAGGAUAGGCUGAGCGCGCCGUUGGUGGAGCGCGUCCAAGCACGGAGGGAGUUGACCAGGCAAAUCCGGUCAGCGAGUUCCUGACGUGUGAUGGGGAGGGAAAACAAGUACCGAAGCAGCUGAUUUCACACUGCCAAGAAAAGCCGCUGGUGAGAUCCAAGGUGCCCGUACCGCAAACCGACACAGGUAGAUGAGGAGAGAAUCCUAAGGCGAGCGAGAGAACUAUUGUUAAGGAACUCGGCAAAAUGACCCCGUAACUUAGGGAGAAGGGGUGCUGCAGAAAUGCAGCCGCAGUGAAGAGGCCCAGGCGACUGUUUACCAAAAACACAGGUCUCUGCGAAAGCGAAAGCUGAAGUAUAGGGGCUGACGCCUGCCCGGUGCUGGAAGGUUAAGGGGAAGUGUCAGGGCGACCGAAGCACAGAACUUAAGCCCCAGUAAACGGCGGCCGUAACUAUAACGGUCCUAAGGUAGCGAAAUUCCUUGUCGGGUAAGUUCCGACCC
RNAcentral lists this ribosomal RNA (1579 nucleotides) under human gut metagenome. Its description in RNAcentral is "bacterial LSU rRNA". It matches the Rfam family "Bacterial large subunit ribosomal RNA", at positions 381 to 1989 of the family's 2925-position model. The record is from RNAcentral.